GUUGAGCCCGCGGCCUAUCAGCUUGUUGGUGGGGUGAUGGCCUACCAAGGCGGUGACGGGUAGCCGGCCUGAGAGGGCGACCGGCCACACUGGGACUGAGACACGGCCCAGACUCCUACGGGAGGCAGCAGUGGGGAAUAUUGCACAAUGGGCGCAAGCCUGAUGCAGCGACCCGCGUGAGGGAUGACGGCCUUCGGGUUGUAAACCUCUUUCGCCAGGGACGAAGGGUGAUACUGACGGUACCUGGAGAAGAAGCACCGGCUAACUACGUGCCAGCAGCCGCGG
RNAcentral lists this ribosomal RNA (285 nucleotides) under Actinomycetes bacterium. RNAcentral's name for it is "Actinobacteria bacterium partial 16S ribosomal RNA". It matches the Rfam family "Bacterial small subunit ribosomal RNA", at positions 224 to 520 of the family's 1533-position model. The record is from RNAcentral. Lineage: Bacteria; Bacillati; Actinomycetota; Actinomycetes.